ACGGAAUAGAUACCCGGGUAGUCCUUGCCGUAAACGUUGUAUACUUGAUGUAGUUAGGCUCAACCCUGACUGUGUCGAAAGCUAAACGCGAUAAGUAUACCGCCUGGGGAGUACGCUCGCAAGGGUGAAACUCAAAAGAAUUGACGGGGGCCCGCACAAGCAGUGGAGCAUGUGGUUUAAUUCGAUGCAACGCGAAGAACCUUACCCAGAUUUGAAAUACAGAGGACAGCAGCAGAAAUGUUGUCUCCCGCAAGGGCCUUUGUACAGGUGCUGCAUGGCUGUCGUCAGCUCGUGCCGUGAGGUGUUGGGUUAAGUCCCGCAACGAGCGCAACCCUUAUCAUUAGUUGCCAACACGCGAGGUGGGGACUCUAAUGAGACUGCCUGGGGUUAACCAGGAGGAAGGUGAGGAUGACGUCAAGUCCGCAUGGCCUUUAUAUCUGGGGCUACACACGUGCUACAAUGGACGGCACAGGAGGCAGCAAGACCGCAAGGUGGAGCAAAUCCGUAAAGCCGUUCCCAGUUCAGAUUGUA
Molecule: ribosomal RNA, 531 nt
Filed under: uncultured bacterium
Lineage: Bacteria
Description: bacterial SSU rRNA
Rfam family: Bacterial small subunit ribosomal RNA
Source: RNAcentral